GGUUCAGGAUGAACGCUAGCGACAGGCCUAACACAUGCAAGUCGAGGGGCAGCAUAACGAAGGCUUGCUUUGUUGAUGGCGACCGGCGCACGGGUGAGUAACGCGUAUCCAACCUUCCCUAUACUAGAGGAUAGCCCGGCGAAAGUCGGAUUAAUACUCUAUGUUCUUCGUAGAAGACAUCUGAAAUGAAGCAAAGGUUUACCGGUAUAGGAUGGGGAUGCGUCUGAUUAGGUUGUUGGCGGGGUAACGGCCCACCAAGCCCACGAUCAGUAGGGGUUCUGAGAGGAAGGUCCCCCACAUUGGAACUGAGACACGGUCCAAACUCCUACGGGAGGCAGCAGUGAGGAAUAUUGGUCAAUGGACGAGAGUCUGAACCAGCCAAGUAGCGUGCAGGAAUGACGGCCCUAUGGGUUGUAAACUGCUUUUAUACAGGGAUAAAGUGCACUACGUGCAGUGUUUUGUAGGUACUGUAUGAAUAAGGACCGGCUAAUUCCGUGCCAGCCGCAGC
This 508-nucleotide ribosomal RNA is filed under the name uncultured bacterium. RNAcentral describes it as "bacterial SSU rRNA". It matches the Rfam family "Bacterial small subunit ribosomal RNA", at positions 21 to 518 of the family's 1533-position model. The record is from RNAcentral.